CAGGGUACUCGAGUGGCGAACGGGUGAGUAACACGUGGGUGAUCUGCCCUGCACUUCGGGAUAAGCUUGGGAAACUGGGUCUAAUACCGGAUAGGAGCCAUCUUUAGUGUGGUGGUUGGAAAGUUUUUUCGGUGUAGGAUGAGCUCGCGGCCUAUCAGCUUGUUGGUGGGGUAAUGGCCUACCAAGGCGGCGACGGGUAGCCGGCCCGAGAGGGUGUACGGCCACAUUGGGACUGAGAUACGGCCCAG
Molecule: ribosomal RNA, 248 nt
Filed under: uncultured Actinomycetales bacterium
Lineage: Bacteria; Bacillati; Actinomycetota; Actinomycetes; Actinomycetales
Description: partial 16S ribosomal RNA
Rfam family: Bacterial small subunit ribosomal RNA
Source: RNAcentral